Long non-coding RNA from Ornithodoros turicata, 1492 nucleotides. RefSeq lists it as uncharacterized. Lineage: Eukaryota; Metazoa; Arthropoda; Arachnida; Ixodida; Argasidae. The record is from RefSeq and is a predicted model, not a curated record. The transcript has 3 exons.
GCCGCCAUCUUACUGUACCCACAACAGUCGCCGCAGCGAUCAUGGCAACUUCUUGCAAUUACGGUCGUACCAACCGUACUGGCAAGGUUACAGGGCCUAAAUUUAUACAGGUUUCGUCAUGAGGGCUACCCAGUGAAUAAUCUGUGCAGUGUGAUACGGCUGGGUGUACAGGUUACUUCACAGCUGCCUCGACAUACUCAAGAAAUGGGUGCAGAACCUGCGUAAUGCCCACAAACCUUGACUACCACAGCACCUCCAGAAAGUAAAGGCAUAUGUGUCACAUGGGAUUUUUAAAGGCAUUCACAGUAUAUAAUACCUUGUAUGAACUGUUGUAGAUCUAAGCAGCCUCUACAGUACACUCUCAGAAAUUAAAACUUGUCAUGGAACUGUGAUAAUUGUUUCAGUUAAUAGGCAUGCACAUAUACGCUAUAAGAAGAAAAUUAUUUAUUGAGAAUGCACUUCUCUGGCUACUCAUGUUGUUUACAUCUACUGUUGAUCACAUUCAUUUAUCACAUACAGUGAAACCUUCCUAUGUUGGACACCACGGUGCAGCAGAAGCGUGUCCUACUUAUAAAGGUGUCCGAGUUACAGAAUAUGAGGGAAACAAAAAAUGGAAAAGAUCACAGCUGUGUUGCCGGAAAUGUCCCCCUUCUUCAAUUUAUGGUCCUGAGUGGUACCUGGUGGCAGUGGUACCUCUACCCACUCUUCACUGAUAAUUAUUACUGAUUUUAGUAGAUUCAAUUCUGUUCAGAUUCCACUCAAUGGCAUUACCUCUGGAGCUUUUUGAGCAGCGAUGACUUGUCUCUGAAGCGUCAGCCCACUUUUCGUUGCUUUGGUGCAGUGUGCGUUCAAAGGCUCUAGACAAACCGAAGACAAAUGCUCACACAAAGAAUUACGAUGUACACUGACAGCACUUGUUUUUGGACUCAGAAAAACUAAAGCAACAAAAUUCCUGAGACCAGUAUAGGGGAAAAAAAGGGCGAAAGUCAAGGCUACUGGCUCGUUUUGGGUAUUUUUGGUGCAAAGAUGGGCCGGUAAUUUGGCCAGGGUUUUGUCCGACUUAGCAGGGAAAACCCUGUCCAACUUACGAGAUAGGGAGGUGUCCGAUAUAGAGAAUUUCGUCCCCGUGUAGUUUCAAUGGGAGCCUGCCCGUGCAAUGAAAUCUUGUCCGACAUGGGGAGUUGUCCGAGGUAAGGAGGUGUCCGACUUUGGAGGUUUUACUGUAUUAUAUUCUUAUAUAUUAUUAUUAUAUUAUCACAUAUUCGAUCACGUUAAAUUUAAAAUUUAGCAUAUAUGAGAAAAUAUCAGGAGGGGAGUUGCUAUUCAUUGCUCAUUCCAACCUAAAAUUGAGAGAGCGUACCUGACCAUUGUCAUUCCUAAAAUAUAUAUUGCCAUUGUAGCAAGGUCACAAAACAAUAAAUGUAGUCUUUUGUGACCUCCCUGCACGUUCGUUGUAUCCUGAAACGCAUAAGUGCAAGAAAUAAAUCUUGAA